UACGNGGGGUGCANGCGNUAAUCGGAAUCACNGGGCGNAAAGGGUGCGUANGCGGUACGUUAGGUCUGUCGUGNAAUCCCCGGGCUCAACCUGNGAAUGGCGGUGGNAACCGGUGUACUAGAGUAUGGGAGAGGGUGGUGGAAUUCCAGGUGUAGCGGUGAAAUGCGUAGAGAUCUGGAGGAACAUCAGUGGCGAAGGCGGCCACCUGGCCCAAUACUGACGCUGAGGCACGAAAGCGUGGGGAGCAAACAGG
This 253-nucleotide ribosomal RNA is filed under the name uncultured Acidithiobacillus sp. RNAcentral's name for it is "partial 16S ribosomal RNA". It matches the Rfam family "Bacterial small subunit ribosomal RNA", at positions 524 to 776 of the family's 1533-position model. Lineage: Bacteria; Pseudomonadati; Pseudomonadota; Acidithiobacillia; Acidithiobacillales; Acidithiobacillaceae. The record is from RNAcentral.